This is a long non-coding RNA of Melanaphis sacchari, 438 nucleotides long. RefSeq lists it as uncharacterized. Lineage: Eukaryota; Metazoa; Arthropoda; Insecta; Hemiptera; Aphididae. The transcript is spliced from 3 exons. The record is from RefSeq and is a predicted model, not a curated record.
UAUGUCAUAUGUGUAUGUUUUUACCUCUAAAUAAACGGGACAGAAAAGAAAAUAACAGUACUACAUAUAAACCGUAAAAUACAAUAUAUUACUAUUUCUGUCAAUUUUUUUUCUUGUAUGCGCGACAAAACCGUAUUAUGGAUGAAAGUGAAACUGCAGUUAUUUCGUCAUAUCGUAUGGAAAUGUGGUCAAACAAUGUGACGUCCACCAGGAAGAAAAAAAUAUAGUCUCAUGUGUACUGCUGUAAAUCACACACAUAUACAAACGUGAGACUGGCGAGUCUUUUGUGUGCGUUCGUAAAGGAUUUGUCGCCGUUCCGGGUUCACGUAGAGUUUGGUGACCCUUUCCCACGUCAGUAUAGUGUAAUUGUUAUACGUGGUGCACUUUACUCAGCUCUAAUGGUAUAAUCGCGUGAAAUUUCCUUAUCGUCCCGUACAC